Diuraphis noxia (Russian wheat aphid) is the source of this 374-nucleotide long non-coding RNA. NCBI's taxonomy places the organism in Eukaryota, Metazoa, Arthropoda, Insecta, Hemiptera, Aphididae. The record is from RefSeq and is a predicted model, not a curated record.
AUACAAUUGUUCAGUAUUCAGUUCAAAGAGAAUUUAAUAUCAAGAUACAUAAAGUUUACUCGUACCAUAAAGCAAAACAACAAAACCUGCCGGAGUAUCAUCAUCUUAAAAAGGAAGAAUUCUAAAAUCGGAAAAAGUACACCAUGGUUCAUGGGCGCUGAACUUUCAACGGCGGUCACCUAUAACGAAGGAUGUUUGAACUUUCAGCUUCAGUAGCAUUCCGUCAUUUGUGCCGAGAGUAGCGAAGUGAUGAGUGGUACUACUAUGUGUGAAAUUAAAAACUUGGAGUAUUAGAAAAAUCAAAUACCUCAAAAACGAACUGAUUCGUAUUUCAAAUAACACUCAAGUCGAAAAAAAUGUGUGCUCGUACAUGG